GUGCUCACUUCCGUAGCACAUAUACUAAAAUUGGAACGAUACAAAGAAGAUUAGCGUGGCCCUUGCGCAAGUAUGACGCGCAAAUUUGUAAAGCGCUCCAUAUUUUU
This is a small nuclear RNA of Loxodonta africana (African savanna elephant), 107 nucleotides long. Lineage: Eukaryota; Metazoa; Chordata; Mammalia; Proboscidea; Elephantidae. The record is from Ensembl.